UGGCCAGUAAACAGAGAGUACACAGCAGUCAGUCAUUCAUCCACCAUUUACUGACUAUGACGUGCUCGUGUUGAAUUGUAGCAGUAACAUCUUAAAAUAACGUCCUAAAGGUAUACAGAGGAGGAGACAUACAAAUGUAUGUCAAUUGGUAUUGGUAUGUUAUGCAGAUCACAUUUACCAUCCUCCUCCAUUACCUCUUCAAUGAAUAUCCCAUAGGCCUCUACAUUAUGGACACGGAAACAUGUUUGAUCCCCAUGCAAUGCAAUAUCAUUCUGGCUAUGGAUAUGGAGAACAUCCACACGCCAGAGGAUAUACCCAUAGGACUUGGGGCUCUGCUGGGAGUUUAGCUCUUAUUUAGAUUUUUUUAUUCUGCUAUGCCACUAGAAUCAUA
Oncorhynchus tshawytscha (Chinook salmon) is the source of this 391-nucleotide long non-coding RNA. RefSeq lists it as uncharacterized. The record is from RefSeq and is a predicted model, not a curated record. The transcript is spliced from 3 exons. NCBI's taxonomy places the organism in Eukaryota, Metazoa, Chordata, Actinopteri, Salmoniformes, Salmonidae.